This 716-nucleotide long non-coding RNA is filed under the name Prunus dulcis (almond). Its description in RNAcentral is "sRNA ncRNA". Lineage: Eukaryota; Viridiplantae; Streptophyta; Magnoliopsida; Rosales; Rosaceae. The record is from RNAcentral.
UUAUUUUCUUUCUUCGUUUAAUAAUAAGCAUAUCAAAGUAUUUAAGUGGCUCCUUAAAAAUACCAAACUCGUCAAAAAUAACAUCAUCCCAGAAAAAAAUGCGCAUUCAUCUAUUUUUACUUUUUGAAAAAAGAAAUGUAGCCAAGGGUUCAAGACGCACAGAAGUGAAAGAGAAAUCUGGGCGUCGUACGAUUUGGCGUGAGUUUGCGAAGGUUUAAUUGAUAAUGUUAGAGAGGCCUCAUUUCUGAGUAGCUUGCCCCUCCGCUGGGACCUUCGCAUCAGUUUUCAAUUUCAACUCAAAUUUAUAUAUAAUCAAUGUAUGAAAAAAUCGAUCGGAAAAUCAAACCGAACCCCAAAAUACAAGCAUGCGAUUCGGCGAUCGGAUUUCAGAACAAUAUUCGAAGGCAAACUUGGCCGAAAGCGCACCGUUUUUACGCGCUCCCUCCAUAGGUCCCUCGGUUGGUUAGAGAAGAUUUAACAGCAGAAAAUAAAAAAAUAAAGAAAGAAAAUAGUGAGAUGAUGAUGCUCAGUGAAUACGAACCAUAUAGGCUAUUCAUUUUGCAACAGCAAUCGAUGAGUUUUUCUCAUCUCAAUUAUUUUCUUCAUCGCAUCGCCAUUGUUUUCAGAUAAGAUAACACUAAUCGAAUGAAACGACAAAUAAACGAGAGGGUGAGGAGGCGGCAUUAGAUGAGAGAACUGCAAACCCUAAAGCGCGG